AACGCUAGCUACAGGCUUAACACAUGCAAGUCGAGGGGCAGCAUGAACUUAGCUUGCUAAGUUUGAUGGCGACCGGCGCACGGGUGAGUAACGCGCAUCCAACCUUCCGUACACUCAGGAAUAGCCUUUCGAAAGAAAGAUUAAUACCUGAUGGUAUGAUGAGAUUGCAUGAAAUCAUCAUUAAAGAUUCAUCGGUGUACGAUGGGGAUGCGUUCCAUUAGAUAGUAGGCGGGGUAACGGCCCACCUAGUCGACGAUGGAUAGGGGUUCUGAGAGGAAGGUCCCCCACAUUGGAACUGAGACACGGUCCAAACUCCUACGGGAGGCAGCAGUGAGGAAUAUUGGUCAAUGGGCGCGAGCCUGAACCAGCCAAGUAGCGUGAAGGAUGAAGGUCCUACGGAUUGUAAACUUCUUUUAUAAGGGAAUAAAGUCACCCACGUGUGGGUGUUUGUAUGUACCUUAUGAAUAAGCAUCGGCUAACUCCGUGCCAGCAGCCGCGGUAAUACGGAGGAUGCGAGCGUUAUCCGGAUUUAUUGGGUUUAAAGGGAGCGUAGACGGGUCGUUAAGUCAGCUGUGAAAGUUUGGGGCUCAACCUUAAAAUUGCAGUUGAUACUGGCGUCCUUGAGUACGGUUGAGGCAGGCGGAAUUCGUGGUGUAGCGGUGAAAUGCUUAGAUAUCACGAAGAACUCCGAUUG
RNAcentral lists this ribosomal RNA (694 nucleotides) under uncultured bacterium. Its description in RNAcentral is "bacterial SSU rRNA". It matches the Rfam family "Bacterial small subunit ribosomal RNA", at positions 32 to 715 of the family's 1533-position model. The record is from RNAcentral.